CAAUAGCGUAUAUUAAAGUUGUUGUGGUUAAAAAGCUCGUAGUUGGAUUUCUGUUGAGGACGACCGGUCCGCCUCUGGGUGAGUAUCUGGCUCGGCCUUGGCAUCUUCUUGGAGAACGUAACUGCACUUGACUGUGUGGUGCGGUAUCCAGGACUUUUUACUUUUUGAGGAAAAUUAGAGUGUUUCAAGCAGGCACACGCCUUGAAUACAUUAGCAUGGAAUAAUAAGAUAGGACCUUGGUUCUAUUUUGUUGGUUUCUAGAGCUGAGGUAAUGAUUAAUAGGGAUAGUUGGGGGCAUUCGGUAUUUAACUGUCAGAGGUGAAAUUCU
Molecule: ribosomal RNA, 328 nt
Filed under: uncultured eukaryote
Lineage: Eukaryota
Description: SSU rRNA
Rfam family: Eukaryotic small subunit ribosomal RNA
Source: RNAcentral